Molecule: ribosomal RNA, 255 nt
Filed under: uncultured bacterium
Lineage: Bacteria
Description: partial 16S ribosomal RNA
Rfam family: Bacterial small subunit ribosomal RNA
Source: RNAcentral
UACAGAGGGGGCAAGCGUUGUUCGGAUUUACUGGGCGUAAAGCGCACGUAGGCGGAUCGUUAAGUCGGGGGGUGAAAAUCCUGGAGCUCAACUCCAGAACUGCCUUCGAUACUGGCGAUCUUGAGUCCGGAAGAGGUGAGUGGAACUCCUAGUGUAGAGGUGGAAUUCGUAGAUAUUAGGAAGAACACCAGUGGCGAAGGCGGCUCACUGGUCCGGUACUGACGCUGAGGCACGAAAGCGUGGGGAGCAAACAGG